CAGGACGUGUUCGAGAGCCGAGGUGAGGCCUGUGGCGGCGAAACGACAGCCAGAGCGUUGAAGGCGUUUCACGAAGUGAGCGGUGAAGUCCUCGCUCUAAAGGAAGUGAUGUGGGAUGAGUUGGCAGAACAGAAGGAACAGGAGGAGGAGGUGAACAACUUCAUUAAAGCCUGCAGA
Nematolebias whitei (Rio pearlfish) is the source of this 177-nucleotide long non-coding RNA. RefSeq lists it as uncharacterized. Lineage: Eukaryota; Metazoa; Chordata; Actinopteri; Cyprinodontiformes; Rivulidae. The record is from RefSeq and is a predicted model, not a curated record. The transcript is spliced from 3 exons.